This is a long non-coding RNA of Miniopterus natalensis, 531 nucleotides long. RefSeq lists it as uncharacterized. NCBI's taxonomy places the organism in Eukaryota, Metazoa, Chordata, Mammalia, Chiroptera, Miniopteridae. The record is from RefSeq and is a predicted model, not a curated record.
GGGCCCCGGGCGCGGGUUGGGCCUUUUUGGCGUCUUUUCAGUAACCGCCGGGAGAACCUUCAAGGAUGUGUCGCUUGGUCGGCUGCUGCCCCCGCCUCAACGGGAUCUUCUUGAAGCAAAAAUCGGGGCCUGCUCCCGGGGUCCUAUUCCCUCUCAGAAUGCCUCUCAGAUUUUCCAGUCCCUGCCAUUCAGAGAUCUGUGACCCGAGAUUUCUGUGCGCAGGUGAUCAGAAGCCACCUGUAGCGAGGGCGACCUUGUCCCAGCGCACAGGCAGCGUUAGGCAGUUCAGCACGAGCUCAGCACACAUUCAGUCUCAUUCCUGAGUCUCCUAUGUGUCCAGCUCUGGGCAAUAUGAAGCUCAUAACCGGGAUGAGGAGCCAGACAAUACACAGACUAACAAGACUCCAGGGACUGAGAUGGAAUUUCACAUGUUCUGCUGUGAGAAAAUCACUUUGUGUCCUUGCCAUCAAGGACGUCUUUUUUGGAAGUCUCCAUUUGCCAGAAAAAAGGCCGUGUGAGGACACAGCAGGG